UACGUAGGGAGCAAGCGUUGUCCGGAAUUACUGGGUGUAAAGGGAGCGUAGGCGGGGGUGCAAGUUGGGUGUGAAAUCUGCCGGCUCAACUGGCAGCUGCACUCAAAACUGCAUCUCUUGAGUGAAGUAGAGGCAGGCGGAAUUCCUAGUGUAGCGGUGAAAUGCGUAGAUAUUAGGAGGAACACCAGUGGCGAAGGCGGCCUGCUGGGCUUUUACUGACGCUGAGGCUCGAAAGUGUGGGGAGCAAA
This 248-nucleotide ribosomal RNA is filed under the name uncultured Oscillospiraceae bacterium. RNAcentral describes it as "partial 16S ribosomal RNA". It matches the Rfam family "Bacterial small subunit ribosomal RNA", at positions 524 to 772 of the family's 1533-position model. Lineage: Bacteria; Bacillati; Bacillota; Clostridia; Eubacteriales; Oscillospiraceae. The record is from RNAcentral.